This 253-nucleotide ribosomal RNA is filed under the name uncultured bacterium. RNAcentral's name for it is "partial 16S ribosomal RNA". It matches the Rfam family "Bacterial small subunit ribosomal RNA", at positions 524 to 776 of the family's 1533-position model. The record is from RNAcentral.
UACGUAGGGUGCGAGCGUUGUCCGGAAUUAUUGGGCGUAAAGAGCUCGUAGGCGGUCUGUCGCGUCGAGUGUGAAAACCCGGGGCUCAACUCCGGGCUUGCAUUCGAUACGGGCAGGCUAGAGUUCGGUAGGGGAGUCUGGAAUUCCUGGUGUAGCGGUGAAAUGCGCAGAUAUCAGGAGGAACACCGGUGGCGAAGGCGGGACUCUGGGCCGAUACUGACGCUGAGGAGCGAAAGCUAGGGGAGCAAACGGG